UUGGGACUAGCGAAACCUAAAGGCGAAAUGAAAGUGAAAGUCGGCCUCGCGCCGACCUAGGGAGGAUGGGUCGCGUCACGGCGCGACCCCGCACUCCCCGGGGGUCUCGUUCUCAUUGCGAGAAGAGGCGCACCAAGAGCGUACACGCUGGGACCCGAAAGAUGGUGAACUAUGCCUGGUCAGGACGAAGUCAGGGGAAACCCUGAUGGAGGUCCGAAGCGAUUCUGACGUGCAAAUCGAUCGUCGGAACUGGGUAUAGGGGCGAAAGACUAAUCGAACCAUCUAGUAGCUGGUUCCCUCCGAAGUUUCCCUCAGGAUAGCUGGCGCUCGCUUUUGCGAGUCUCAUCUGGUAAAGCGAAUGAUUAGAGGCAUUGGGGUCGAAACGGCCUCAACCUAUUCUCAAACUUUAAAUGGGUGAGAUCUCCGGCUUGCUUAAAACGUGAAGCCGCGAGAUCGGAUCAGAGUGCCAAGUGGGCCAUUUUUGGUAAGCAGAACUGGCGCUGUGGGAUGAACCAAACGCAGAGUUAAAGCUCCAAAAUCAACGCUUAUGGGAUACCAUGAAAGGCGUUGGUAACUUAAGACAGCAGGACGGUGGCCAUGGAA
Molecule: ribosomal RNA, 603 nt
Filed under: Platerodrilus sp. UPOL VP2302
Lineage: Eukaryota; Metazoa; Arthropoda; Insecta; Coleoptera; Lycidae
Description: eukaryotic LSU rRNA
Rfam family: Eukaryotic large subunit ribosomal RNA
Source: RNAcentral